GGAAAAUCUUAUUUUCCUUUCUAUUGAGAGAAGAGGAGGUUAUGGGGGCAGAGAGAGAGAGCAUUAAAUACUCACAGUUAAUCCUCCUCUCAGCUCCUGUGUAGGGUGUGUAUAUGUGUGCACACAUGCCAGAAAUCUAGGAAACCUUUUUGAUGAUUCUGCCUCCUCAUCCAAUCAAUCACCAUGCCUAUUAAUUGAUUCUAAGACAUUUUUCCAAACUGUGCUUCAAUGAAAAGCCUUCCCUGUCCUCAAACCAGAUUUCUCCCAGCCUCACCCAUAGCUUCCCACAGCACCCUCUACAGCUUCUUUAAAGUAUUCAUGACAG
Molecule: long non-coding RNA, 325 nt
Filed under: Bos taurus (domestic cattle)
Lineage: Eukaryota; Metazoa; Chordata; Mammalia; Artiodactyla; Bovidae
Description: long non-coding RNA NONBTAT010999
Source: RNAcentral